AAACUCAAAUGAAUUGACGGGACCGCACAAGCAGCGGAGCGUGUGGUUUAAUUCGUUGCUACACGAAGAACCUUACCUGGGUUUGACAUAUAGGUUGUAGGGAACUGAAAGGGACCGACCUUCGGGAGCCUAUACAGGUGUUGCAUGGCUGUCGUCAGCUCGUGUCGUGAGAUGUUCGGUUAAGUCCGCUAACGAGCGCAACCCUCGUCGUAUGUUAUAUGUGUCAUACGAGACUGCCGGUAAAAGCCGGAGGAAGGUGAGGAUGAUGUCAAGUCAGCAUGACCUUUAUAUCCAGGGCUACACACACGCUACAAUGGUCUGUACAAUGGGUAGCCAAGCCGCGAGGCGGAGCCAAUCCUGAAAGCAGGCCUCAGUUCAGAUUGCAGUCUGCAACUCGACUGCAUGAAGCCGGAGUUGCUAGUAACCGCAGGUCAGCAAUACUGCGGUGAAUACGUUCCCGGGUCUU
RNAcentral lists this ribosomal RNA (466 nucleotides) under uncultured Anaerolineaceae bacterium. RNAcentral's name for it is "bacterial SSU rRNA". It matches the Rfam family "Bacterial small subunit ribosomal RNA", at positions 897 to 1382 of the family's 1533-position model. Lineage: Bacteria; Bacillati; Chloroflexota; Anaerolineae; Anaerolineales; Anaerolineaceae. The record is from RNAcentral.